RNAcentral lists this unclassified non-coding RNA (2174 nucleotides) under Hevea brasiliensis (rubber tree). The record is from RNAcentral. Lineage: Eukaryota; Viridiplantae; Streptophyta; Magnoliopsida; Malpighiales; Euphorbiaceae.
GAACAAACCAAUUGGUUUGCGUUUGGACUGCCUUCUGAUAGUCUAUCUCAUGCAGCAGCAACUCUAGGUCAGUGACGCUCGCAGCAAUAGUCUCUUACAAUGCAGAUGUCAAUUAAUCUUAAUCACAAAUAUUGUCAAGAAGAUUGAUGACAUCGUCCAAUCAAAUGUAAACUUGAAUUACACAUAAUAAAGAAAAACAGAGAACGAAGACAAAUUUCCAGGCAGAAAAAGGAUUGCACAGUAUUUUCUACUCGACUAAAGUUAUCAAAUAUCCGAAAGCAUUUAACGGCUAAAUUAUACACUGGCCACAGAAAAAGGGCAAAAAGAAUCAUCCUAAAGUAUUAAAAAUGGACACAAGUUAGCUUUAACACAUGCAAACCAGUACAGAUUGUAGUUUCCUCCCACUCCUAAGCAGCAGCCGCUCAGAGAAGAAUCAAUGGUCUACUGAGGUGUUUGGGAAUGUGGUGGAGGCCCUGGCGGUAGUGGUGGAGGCAUACCAGAUUGACUACCAGACUGAUAAGGAUUAAACCCUGGCAUCAUUGGCAUCUGUCCACCUUGUGGUCGGUUGAAUGGUCCACCUUGUGGAUACAUUUGGUUCCCAGUUGCAUUUGAUGGGCCUUGCAUAUUUGGCAGGCUAUUAGGAAAGCCCCCUACUGGAGGGGCAGCACUUGUGGAUAAGGAUCCUGAGUGCAUUGGGUUCAUGCCCAUGAAAUGGCUUUGCGGCAUUGGCGGGACCAUUGGAUUCAUUGAGCCUUGCAUUCCCAUUGGACCAGGCAUUUGCAAUGGAUGCGAUGCAGACAUUGAUGAAGGCACAGGCAAGGAUCCUGGCAUAGAAGAUGGACUUGGUGAAGGCAUACCAUGAGGGGACACUUGUGGAGGGCGGGGUAGAUGGGGAUGAGGGAGGAGGGAUAAAUGUGAUGGUGGCUGUAGCUGCUGCAUAUUUGGUGGAGGCAUAGGCAAAGGAGGCAUUUGCUGAGGGAGGGCCUGGUGUUGCUGCUGCUGCUGCAUCUGCUGAGGAUUAUGUUGAUAUCCCUGCUGCUGAUUGGCAGCAAGAAGAGAUGGAUGUGGGCCAGGAGGAAGAGGAGGGGCUCCUAGAGGCAUAGAAAUUGGAACAGGCUGUUUCUGCUCCCCCUGACCUGACGCAUCAAGAGAUGGAAUUGCUAAUGGCAUUGCAGCUCCAACACCCGGAAUGGUUCCUUCAUUUCGAGUCAAUCCAACAGCAAAUGGUCCUGGAGUUGUUGGUGGUUCAGGUAGAGGGAAAUUACCAGGCAAGCGACCAGCAAGGGCAGGAUUUUGCUCACCAUAACCUGAUAUAGGGACUUUUCCUUGGUUCUGACCCAUGUUAAAUUUAUCACGAGCAAUGUCUCCAGGUCUAUUUCUGCACCAAAACUUUGUUGUAUGAUCAUUGCUACCACUGCAAAGAAGAUAUCCAAUAGGAUGCCAUGCAAUAUCCCACACGCUAUUAUCAUGAGCAUUGGCAACUUCAAUCUGGGGAGUUUCAUGCCUACUCGCAUAAAUGCAAGAUUAUUUCAAAAUUUACAUCCAAUGAAAAUAGCAAAUAGCAUUAAACAGAAGCAAAUAAAAACAAAAAGGAAGAGUAACAAAGUUGAAAAGGUUGCUAUGAGAGCAUGAGUCAUCAUCUACCUUGCAGCUUUCUUCAUUUUCCUUGGAUAGAACAUGAUAACUAAAGAAGAUCAUAACACAAAUCAAUGCUAUCAAUUCACCAAAAUAUCAUCUGAAUGACUUCAUUUCUUUAUAAGGACUUACUACUAUUAUAUUUAGAAGUCUAAAGUGUGUUUAUAUAUAUAUAAGCUAAUGGAGUAACUCUUUCAGACCCUUAAAAGACUCCAGAUUGGUGCACCUGAUCAAUUCAGGAUCCCAACAUCCCAAAAGCAGAAGCCUCCAUGAUGAGAGAACUCUAGAUACAUCACCUUAUGGCUUAUAAUUCUAUGCCAUCACAUCUUAAAACAACAUUGUUUUGUAAGUAUUAGUUCUAUUCUUUCUACCUGCAUUCUUUUCCUUUGAACUAUGUUCAAUGUUUCACAAAACCAAAGAGUGAAAAUAUAUUAAACAGAAACAUUUAACCACCUAAUGCAUUACAUACUGAAAAUACCAGAAAUAAGGGAAUAAAAUAAUUUAUGUGAAAAUAAAAUUCAGCAUGUGGAAGAAACUUA